AGCCGGAGGGAAACCGAGUCUUAAUUGGGCGUUAAGUUGCAGGGUAUAGACCCGAAACCCGGUGAUCUAGCCAUGGGCAGGUUGAAGGUUGGGUAACACUAACUGGAGGACCGAACCGACUAAUGUUGAAAAAUUAGCGGAUGACCUGUGGCUGGGGGUGAAAGGCCAAUCAAACCGGGAGAUAGCUGGUUCUCCCCGAAAGCUAUUUAGGUAGCGCCUCGUGAAUUCAUCUCCGGGGGUAGAGCACUGUUUCGGCUAGGGGGCCAUCCCGGCUUACCAACCCGAUGCAAACUGCGAAUACCGGAGAAUGUUAUCACGGGAGACACACGGCGGGUGCUAACGUCCGUCGUGAAGAGGGAAACAACCCAGACCGCCAGCUAAGGUCCCAAAGUCAUGGUUAAGUGGGAAACGAUGUGGGAAGGCCCAGACAGCCAGGAUGUUGGCUUAGAAGCAGCCAUCAUUUAAAGAAAGCGUAAUAGCUCACUGGUCGAGUCGGCCUGCGCGGAAGAUGUAACGGGGCUAAACCAUGCACCGAAGCUGCGGCAGCGACACUGUGUGUUGUUGGGUAGGGGAGCGUUCUGUAAGCCUGUGAAGGUGUGUCGUGAGGCAUGCUGGAGGUAUCAGAAGUGCGAAUGCUGACAUAAGUAACGAUAAAGCGGGUGAAAAGCCCGCUCGCCGGAAGACCAAGGGUUCCUGUCCAACGUUAAUCGGGGCAGGGUGAGUCGACCCCUAAGGCGAGGCCGAAAGGCGUAGUCGAUGGGAAACGGGUUAAUAUUCCCGUACUUGGUGUUACUGCGAAGGGGGGACGGAGAAGGCUAUGUUGGCCGGGCGACGGUUGUCCCGGUUUAAGCGUGUAGGUGUGUGUUCCAGGUAAAUCCGGUUCACUUUAACACUGAGGCGUGACGACGAGGCACUACGGUGCUGAAGCAACAAAUGCCCUGCUUCCAGGAAAAGCCUCUAAGCAUCAGGUAACAUCAAAUCGUACCCCAAACCGACACAGGUGGUCAGGUAGAGAAUACCAAGGCGCUUGAGAGAACUCGGGUGAAGGAACUAGGCAAAAUGGUGCCGUAACUUCGGGAGAAGGCACGCUGACACGUAGGUGAAGUGAUUUACUCAUGGAGCUGAAGUCAGUCGAAGAUACCAGCUGGCUGCAACUGUUUAUUAAAAACACAGCACUGUGCAAACACGAAAGUGGACGUAUACGGUGUGACGCCUGCCCGGUGCCGGAAGGUUAAUUGAUGGGGUCAGCGCAAGCGAAGCUCCUGAUCGAAGCCCCGGUAAACGGCGGCCGUAACUAUAACGGUCCUAAGGUAGCGAAAUUCCUUGUCGGGUAAGUUCCGACCUGCACGAAUGGCGUAAUGAUGGCCAGGCUGUCUCCACCCGAGACUCAGUGAAAUUGAACUCGCUGUGAAGAUGCAGUGUACCCGCGGCAAGACGGAAAGACCCCGUGAACCUUUACUAUAGCUUGACACUGAACAUUGAGCCUUGAUGUGUAGGAUAGGUGGGAGGCUUUGAAGUGUGGACGCCAGUCUGCAUGGAGCCGACCUUGAAAUACCACCCUUUAAUGUUUGAUGUUCUAACGUGGACCCGUUACCCGGGUUGCGGACAGUGUCUGGUGGGUAGUUUGACUGGGGCGGUCUCCUCCUAAAGAGUAACGGAGGAGCACGAAGGUUGGCUAAUCCUGGUCGGACAUCAGG
RNAcentral lists this ribosomal RNA (1697 nucleotides) under Salmonella enterica. RNAcentral's name for it is "partial 23S ribosomal RNA". It matches the Rfam family "Bacterial large subunit ribosomal RNA", at positions 664 to 2342 of the family's 2925-position model. Lineage: Bacteria; Pseudomonadati; Pseudomonadota; Gammaproteobacteria; Enterobacterales; Enterobacteriaceae. The record is from RNAcentral.